CCCAGAUGGGAAGAUCCAAACAGCCAUUAAAAGAUCUGGGAAAAAGUGAGAUUUCAUUCAAAUGAAGCUACAAUAAGGGGAGCCUUUUGGAAACUAUCCCACAGCUGGACACCCCACAGCUGCUCAGACUUGACAGUUCAGAACUUGAAGCUUCCAUGUCUGGAACAAUCUCAAUACCUUCUGAAUGUGGUACCAGUGCCGGGAUGAGCUGCUCUUCUCUAGGAACUCCAACAUCCGAGAAGCCGGCCAUGCAAUGUCAGCAGCAUGCCUGGCAGAGGCCUGUGGACUGAAGGUGGUUUAUACCAUGGGAAGACAAUAUUUAAAGCUAAGAAGAAUGGAUAUAAAGAGGCA
This is a non-coding RNA of Pogona vitticeps (central bearded dragon), 351 nucleotides long. The record is from RefSeq and is a predicted model, not a curated record. NCBI's taxonomy places the organism in Eukaryota, Metazoa, Chordata, Lepidosauria, Squamata, Agamidae.